This 465-nucleotide ribosomal RNA is filed under the name uncultured bacterium. Its description in RNAcentral is "partial 16S ribosomal RNA". It matches the Rfam family "Bacterial small subunit ribosomal RNA", at positions 339 to 795 of the family's 1533-position model. The record is from RNAcentral.
CUACGGGGGGCUGCAGUGAGGAAUUUUGCGCAAUGGGGGCAACCCUGACGCAGCAACGCCGCGUGAGUGAAGAAGGCCUUUGGGUCGUAAAGCUCUGUCAACAGGGAAGAAGUUAUAAUUAUUUAAUAGAUAAUUGUAUUGACGGUACCUGUGGAGGAAGCGCCGGCUAACUCCGUGCCAGCAGCCGCGGUAACACGGGUGGCGCAAGCGUUAUUCGGAAUUAUUGGGCGUAAAGGGCGCGCAGGCGGUCUUGUCCGUCAGGUGUGAAAGCUCGGGGCUCAACCCCGGAAGUGCACUUGAAACAGCAAGACUUGAAUACGGGAGAGGAGAGAGGAAUUCCUGGUGUAGAGGUGAAAUUCGUAGAUAUCAGGAGGAACACCGAUGGCGAAGGCAUCUCUCUGGACCGAUAUUGACGCUGAGGCGCGAAGGCGUGGGUAGCGAACGGGAUUAGAUACCCCUGUAGUC